CAGGCUGCAACUCGCCUGCACGAAGCCGGAGUUGCUAGUAAUCGCGGAUCAGAAUGCCGCGGUGAAUGCGUUCCCGGGUCUUGUACACACCGCCCGUCACACCAUGGAAGUUGGGGGUGCCCAAAGCCGGCAGGGAAAUAUGCUGUCUAAGGCAAAACCAAUGACUGGGGUGAAGUCGUAACAAGGUAUC
Molecule: ribosomal RNA, 190 nt
Filed under: uncultured bacterium
Lineage: Bacteria
Description: partial 16S ribosomal RNA
Rfam family: Bacterial small subunit ribosomal RNA
Source: RNAcentral